Long non-coding RNA from Microplitis demolitor, 10722 nucleotides. RefSeq lists it as uncharacterized. The transcript has 3 exons. NCBI's taxonomy places the organism in Eukaryota, Metazoa, Arthropoda, Insecta, Hymenoptera, Braconidae. The record is from RefSeq and is a predicted model, not a curated record.
UAUGGGUUGUUGACGUUAAAAGGUUUAAGUGAAAGUAGUGAGUCAAAGUAAUGUCUGAAUUAUUUUGUUUACUUAAUUUUCGUACAUAAAAAUUAAUUAUUUACAUUUAUAAUAAAAUAAAAAAUUAAGGAAUCAAUAAUUAUUACUUAUUAAAAAAAAAAAAUUCAUUUCUUGCCUCGUUUCUCUUUUUAACAUAUUUCUAUCUUGUCUUUGCUCUCAGCUGCCUCCGGUCGUUCCGUACCCUUUGAUAAUAUUCAUCUCUAUCGAUGAUCGAGAUGGAAACAAUGGUUCAACUUUAAUUAUUUUAAUAAUUCAAAAGUGACGCUAUAUUGUUUUAAUGUAAUUUUACAAAUAUUAGCGUUAAUAAUAUGUUGUUUUUUAUUGGAUUCACUAAAGCCUCCUUAGAUAGUAAACGUCAAUUAACGUAAUUAAAUUACGAUGUAUAUCUAAAAAAAUUUAAUUGGACAACUAAAUAAGGUUAGAAUACAAAGAAGAAUACAACGAUGAAAGGUACAAGCAUAAUAAUCAUGAGGAAAUGAUAAUACUACGGAAGGAAUAAUGGAAUUUUGUCAUCGCUUACAUACUGAAGAUGUGAAUUUUAUAAUACUAGGGACAUGAUUGAUUAUUUUACAAUACUUACAAAAACAGCAAUGAAUAAAAGAUAAAUUGGCAUAUUUGGAAACACGACAAUUACCAUAAUUAUUUAUGGUCUGAAAAUAUAAACUAAAAAGUGAAAAAGUGAUUGCAAAAUUGUAUAGGAAUGAGGGGCCGGUACUGCUGACAAAAAAAAUAUUUGAAAAAUGUAUUAACAAUUUGAUCGCUAAAAUUUGAUGGCCAAACAAAAAAAUUACCUAAUUUCGAAGAAUUUGUAUUGUAAAAAAGCAUAAGUGAAAUUGUAUACGGAUGAAAGGGCCGGUACUGCUGAUAAAAAAAUAUUUGAGAAAUUUAUUUACAAAUUAAUCGCUAUAAUCUGAUGGCCAAAAAAGAAAUUAAUUUAUUUUUAAGAAUUUGUAUUGUGAAAAAGUGUUUGUGAAAUCGUAUAGGGAUGACGGGCCGGUACUGCUGAUGAAAAAAUAUUUGAAACAUUUUUUUACAAACUAAUCGCUAUAAUUUGAUGGCCAAAAAAAUUAAUUUAUUUUUAAGAAUUUGUAUUGUAAAAAAGUGAUUGCGAAAUUGUAUGGGGAUGAGGGGCCGGUACUGCUGAUAAAAAAAUAUUUGAGAAAUUCAUUUAUAAAUUAAUACACAAUAUCGCUCACUUUUUUACAAUUCAAAUUCUUGAAAAUUAACUAAUUUUUUUUGUUGACCAUCAAAUUAUAGCAAUUAAUUUGUAAAUAAAUUUUUCAAAAAUUUUUUUAUCAGCAGUAUCGGCCCCUCAUCCCCAUAAAAUUUUGCAAUCACUUUUUUUGUAGAAUUUGUAUUAUGGAAAAGCAUAAGCGAAAUUGUAUAGGGAUGAGGAGCCGGUAUUGUUGAUAAAAAAAUAUUUGAGAAAUUUAUUUACAAAUCGAUUGCUAUAAUUUGAAGGCCAAGAAAAAAAAUUAAUCAAUUUUUAACAAUUUGCAUUGUGAAACAGUGCGAGCGAAAUUGUAUAAAGAUGAGGGGCCGGAACUGCUGAUGAAAGAAUAUUUAAAAAAUUUAUUUUCAAAUUAAUUGCUAUAAUUUGAAGGCAAAAAAAAAAUUAAUUUAUUUUUGAGAAUUUGUAUUGUGAGAAACUGUUUGCAAAAUCGUAUAGGGAUGAGGGGCCGGUACUGCUGAAAAAAAAAUAUUUGAGAAAUUUUUUUACAUAUUAAUCGCUAUAAUCUAAUGGCAAAAAAAAAAUUAAUUUAUUUUAAAGAAUUAGUAUUGUGAAAAAGUGUUUGUGAAAUCGUAUAGGGAUGACGGGCCGGUACUGCGGAUAAAAAAAAUAUUUGAGAAAUUUUUUUACAUAUUAAUCGCUAUAAUCUGAUGGCAAAAAAAAAAAUUAAUUUAUUUGAAAAAAUUUGUCUUGUGAAAAAGUGAUUGCGAAAUUGUAUAGGGAUGAGGGACCGGUACUGCUGAUGAAAAAAUAUUUGAGUAAUUUGUUUAUAAAUUAAUACAUAAUGUAGCUCUCGCUUUUUCACAAUACAAAUUCUUCAAAAUUAACUAAUUUUUCUUUUUGGCCAUCAGGUUAUAGCAAUUAAUUUGUAAAUAAAUUUUUUUAAUAUUUUUUCAUCAGCAGUACCGGCCCCUUAUCCGUAUACAAUUUCGCAAUCACUUAUUCACAAUACAAAUUCUUAAAAAUAAAUUAAUUUUUUUUUGACCAUCAAAUUAUAGCAAUUGAUUUGUAAAUAAAUUUCUCAAAUAUUUUUUUAUCAAAAAUACUGGCUCCUCAUCCCUAUACUAUUUCGCAAAUACUUUUUUUGUAGAAUUUGUAUUGUAAAAAAGCAUAAGCGAAAUUGUAUAGGAAUGAGGAGCCGGUACUGCUGAUAAAAAAAUAUUUGAAAAAUUUAUUUACAAAUUGAUGCUCUUAAAGUGAUGGCCAAAAAAAAAAUUAAUUUAUUUUUGAUAAUCUGUAUUGUGAAAAAGUGAGAGCGACAUUGUAAAGGGAUGAGGGGUUAGUACUGCUGAUAAAAAAAUAUUUGAAAAAUUUUUUUACAAAUUAAUCGCUAUAAUUUGAUGGCCAACAAAAAAAUUAAUUAAUUUCUAAGAAUUUGUAUUGUGAAAUAACCUAAGUGAAAUUGUUGAGGGAUAAGAGGCUGGUACUGCUGAUAAAAAAAUAUUUGAAAAAUUUUUUUACAAAUUAAUUGCUAUAGUUUGAUGGCUAAAAAAAAAAAAUUUAUUUAUUUUUAAGAAUCUGUAUUGUGAAAAAGUGAGAGCGACAUUGUGUAGGGAUUAAGGGCCGGUUCUGCUGAUAAAAAAAUAUUUGAGAAAUUUAUUAACAAAUUAAUGUUUUUAAAUUGAUGGCCAAAAAAAAAAUUUAUUUAUUUUUAAGAAUCUGUAUUGUGAAAAAGUGAGAGCGACAUUGUAUAGGGAUGAGGGGUCAGUACUGCUGAUAAAAAAAUAUUUGAAAAAUUUUUUUACAUAUUAAUCGCUAUAAUUUGAUGGCCAAAAAAAAAAUUAAUUUAUUUUAAAGAAUUUGUAUUGUGAAAACCCCGUAUAGGGAUGACGGGCCGGUACUGCUGAGGAAAAAAUAUUUGAGUAAUUCAUUUAUAAAUUAAUACCCAAUGUAGCUCUCACUUUUUCACAAUACAAAUUCGUCAAAAUUAACUAAUUUUUUUUUUCGGCCAUCAAAUUAUAGCAAUUUAUUUGUAAAAAACUUUUUCAAAUAUUUUUUUAUCAGCAGUAGCGGCCCCUCAUCCCUAUACAACUUCGCUUACACUUUUUCGCAAUACAUAUUGUUAAAAAUUAAUUAAUAUUUUUUUUGGCCAUCAAAUUAUAGCAAUUGAUUUGUAAAUAAAUUUCUUAAAUAUUUUUUUAUCAAAAAUACUGGCUCCUCAUCCCUAUACUAUUUCGCAAAUACCUUUUUUUGUAGAAUUUGUAUUGUAAAAAAGCAUAAGCGAAAUUGUAUAGGAAUGAGGAGCCGGUACUGCUGAUAAAAAAAUAUUUGAAAAAUUUAUUUACAAAUUGAUGCUCUUAAAGUGAUGGCCAAAAAAAAAAAUUAAUUUAUUUUUGAUAAUCUGUAUUGUGAAAAAGUGAGAGCGACAUUGUAAAGGGAUGAGGGGUUAGUACUGCUGAUAAAAAAAUAUUUGAAAAAUUUUUUUACAAAUUAAUCGCUAUAAUUUGAUGGCCAACAAAAAAAUUAAUUAAUUUCUAAGAAUUUGUAUUGUGAAAUAACCUAAGUGAAAUUGUUGAGGGAUAAGAGGCUGGUACUGCUGAUAAAAAAAUAUUUGAAAAAUUUUUUUACAAAUUAAUCGCUAUAAUUUGAUGGCCAACAAAAAAAUUAAUUAAUUUCUAAGAAUUUGUAUUGUGAAAUAACCUAAGUGAAAUUGUUGAGGGAUAAGAGGCUGGUACUGCUGAUAAAAAAAUAUUUGAAAAAUUUUUUUACAAAUUAAUUGCUAUAGUUUGAUGGCUAAAAAAAAAAAAUUUAUUUAUUUUUAAGAAUCUGUAUUGUGAAAAAGUGAGAGCGACAUUGUGUAGGGAUUAAGGGCCGGUUCUGCUGAUAAAAAAAUAUUUGAGAAAUUUAUUAACAAAUUAAUGUUUUUAAAUUGAUGGCCAAAAAAAAAAUUUAUUUAUUUUUAAGAAUCUGUAUUGUGAAAAAGUGAGAGCGACAUUGUAUAGGGAUGAGGGGUCAGUACUGCUGAUAAAAAAAUAUUUGAAAAAUUUUUUUACAUAUUAAUCGCUAUAAUUUGAUGGCCAAAAAAAAAAUUAAUUUAUUUUGAAGAAUUUGUAUUGUGAAAACCCCGUAUAGGGAUGACGGGCCGGUACUGCUGAGGAAAAAAUAUUUGAGUAAUUCAUUUAUAAAUUAAUACCCAAUGUAGCUCUCACUUUUUCACAAUACAAAUUCGUCAAAAUUAACUAAUUUUUUUUUUCGGCCAUCAAAUUAUAGCAAUUUAUUUGUAAAAAACUUUUUCAAAUAUUUUUUUAUCAGCAGUAGCGGCCCCUCAUCCCUAUACAACUUCGCUUACACUUUUUCGCAAUACAUAUUGUUAAAAAUUAAUUAAUAUUUUUUUUGGCCAUCAAAUUAUAGCAAUUGAUUUGUAAAUAAAUUUCUUAAAUAUUUUUUUAUCAAAAAUACUGGCUCCUCAUCCCUAUACUAUUUCGCAAAUACCUUUUUUUGUAGAAUUUGUAUUGUAAAAAAGCAUAAGCGAAAUUGUAUAGGAAUGAGGAGCCGGUACUGCUGAUAAAAAAAUAUUUGAAAAAUUUAUUUACAAAUUGAUGCUCUUAAAGUGAUGGCCAAAAAAAAAAAUUAAUUUAUUUUUGAUAAUCUGUAUUGUGAAAAAGUGAGAGCGACAUUGUAAAGGGAUGAGGGGUUUGUACUGCUGAUAAAAAAAUAUUUGAAAAAUUUUUUUACAAAUUAAUCGCUAUAAUUUGAUGGCCAACAAAAAAAUUAAUUAAUUUCUAAGAAUUUGUAUUGUGAAAUAACCUAAGUGAAAUUGUUGAGGGAUAAGAGGCUGGUACUGCUGAUAAAAAAAUAUUUGAAAAAUUUUUUUACAAAUUAAUCGCUAUAAUUUGAUGGCCAACAAAAAAAUUAAUUAAUUUCUAAGAAUUUGUAUUGUGAAAUAACCUAAGUGAAAUUGUUGAGGGAUAAGAGGCUGGUACUGCUGAUAAAAAAAUAUUUGAAAAAUUUUUUUACAAAUUAAUUGCUAUAGUUUGAUGGCUAAAAAAAAAAAAUUUAUUUAUUUUUAAGAAUCUGUAUUGUGAAAAAGUGAGAGCGACAUUGUGUAGGGAUUAAGGGCCGGUUCUGCUGAUAAAAAAAUAUUUGAGAAAUUUAUUAACAAAUUAAUGUUUUUAAAUUGAUGGCCAAAAAAAAAAUUUAUUUAUUUUUAAGAAUCUGUAUUGUGAAAAAGUGAGAGCGACAUUGUAUAGGGAUGAGGGGUCAGUACUGCUGAUAAAAAAAUAUUUGAAAAAUUUUUUUACAUAUUAAUCGCUAUAAUUUGAUGGCCAAAAAAAAAAUUAAUUUAUUUUAAAGAAUUUGUAUUGUGAAAACCCCGUAUAGGGAUGACGGGCCGGUACUGCUGAGGAAAAAAUAUUUGAGUAAUUCAUUUAUAAAUUAAUACCCAAUGUAGCUCUCACUUUUUCACAAUACAAAUUCGUCAAAAUUAACUAAUUUUUUUUUUCGGCCAUCAAAUUAUAGCAAUUUAUUUGUAAAAAACUUUUUCAAAUAUUUUUUUAUCAGCAGUAGCGGCCCCUCAUCCCUAUACAACUUCGCUUACACUUUUUCGCAAUACAUAUUGUUAAAAAUUAAUUAAUAUUUUUUUUGGCCAUCAAAUUAUAGCAAUUGAUUUGUAAAUAAAUUUCUUAAAUAUUUUUUUAUCAAAAAUACUGGCUCCUCAUCCCUAUACUAUUUCGCAAAUACCUUUUUUUGUAGAAUUUGUAUUGUAAAAAAGCAUAAGCGAAAUUGUAUAGGAAUGAGGAGCCGGUACUGCUGAUAAAAAAAUAUUUGAAAAAUUUAUUUACAAAUUGAUGCUCUUAAAGUGAUGGCCAAAAAAAAAAAUUAAUUUAUUUUUGAUAAUCUGUAUUGUGAAAAAGUGAGAGCGACAUUGUAAAGGGAUGAGGGGUUUGUACUGCUGAUAAAAAAAUAUUUGAAAAAUUUUUUUACAAAUUAAUCGCUAUAAUUUGAUGGCCAACAAAAAAAUUAAUUAAUUUCUAAGAAUUUGUAUUGUGAAAUAACCUAAGUGAAAUUGUUGAGGGAUAAGAGGCUGGUACUGCUGAUAAAAAAAUAUUUGAAAAAUUUUUUUACAAAUUAAUCGCUAUAAUUUGAUGGCCAACAAAAAAAUUAAUUAAUUUCUAAGAAUUUGUAUUGUGAAAUAACCUAAGUGAAAUUGUUGAGGGAUAAGAGGCUGGUACUGCUGAUAAAAAAAUAUUUGAAAAAUUUUUUUACAAAUUAAUUGCUAUAGUUUGAUGGCUAAAAAAAAAAAAUUUAUUUAUUUUUAAGAAUCUGUAUUGUGAAAAAGUGAGAGCGACAUUGUGUAGGGAUUAAGGGCCGGUUCUGCUGAUAAAAAAAUAUUUGAGAAAUUUAUUAACAAAUUAAUGUUUUUAAAUUGAUGGCCAAAAAAAAAAUUUAUUUAUUUUUAAGAAUCUGUAUUGUGAAAAAGUGAGAGCGACAUUGUAUAGGGAUGAGGGGUCAGUACUGCUGAUAAAAAAAUAUUUGAAAAAUUUUUUUACAUAUUAAUCGCUAUAAUUUGAUGGCCAAAAAAAAAAUUAAUUUAUUUUAAAGAAUUUGUAUUGUGAAAACCCCGUAUAGGGAUGACGGGCCGGUACUGCUGAGGAAAAAAUAUUUGAGUAAUUCAUUUAUAAAUUAAUACCCAAUGUAGCUCUCACUUUUUCACAAUACAAAUUCGUCAAAAUUAACUAAUUUUUUUUUUCGGCCAUCAAAUUAUAGCAAUUUAUUUGUAAAAAACUUUUUCAAAUAUUUUUUUAUCAGCAGUAGCGGCCCCUCAUCCCUAUACAACUUCGCUUACACUUUUUCGCAAUACAUAUUGUUAAAAAUUAAUUAAUAUUUUUUUUGGCCAUCAAAUUAUAGCAAUUGAUUUGUAAAUAAAUUUCUUAAAUAUUUUUUUAUCAAAAAUACUGGCUCCUCAUCCCUAUACUAUUUCGCAAAUACCUUUUUUUGUAGAAUUUGUAUUGUAAAAAAGCAUAAGCGAAAUUGUAUAGGAAUGAGGAGCCGGUACUGCUGAUAAAAAAAUAUUUGAAAAAUUUAUUUACAAAUUGAUGCUCUUAAAGUGAUGGCCAAAAAAAAAAAUUAAUUUAUUUUUGAUAAUCUGUAUUGUGAAAAAGUGAGAGCGACAUUGUAAAGGGAUGAGGGGUUAGUACUGCUGAUAAAAAAAUAUUUGAAAAAUUUUUUUACAAAUUAAUCGCUAUAAUUUGAUGGCCAACAAAAAAAUUAAUUAAUUUCUAAGAAUUUGUAUUGUGAAAUAACCUAAGUGAAAUUGUUGAGGGAUAAGAGGCUGGUACUGCUGAUAAAAAAAUAUUUGAAAAAUUUUUUUACAAAUUAAUCGCUAUAAUUUGAUGGCCAACAAAAAAAUUAAUUAAUUUCUAAGAAUUUGUAUUGUGAAAUAACCUAAGUGAAAUUGUUGAGGGAUAAGAGGCUGGUACUGCUGAUAAAAAAAUAUUUGAGAAAUUUUUUUACAAAUUAAUUGCUAUAGUUUGAUCGCUAAAAAAAAAAAAUUUAUUUAUUUUUAAGAAUCUGUAUUGUGAAAAAGUGAGAGCGACAUUGUGUAGGGAUUAAGGGCCGGUUCUGCUGAUAAAAAAAUAUUUGAGAAAUUUAUUAACAAAUUAAUGUUUUUAAAUUGAUGGCCAAAAAAAAAAUUUAUUUAUUUUUAAGAAUCUGUAUUGUGAAAAAGUGAGAGCGACAUUGUAUAGGGAUGAGGGGUCAGUACUGCUGAUAAAAAAAUAUUUGAAAAAUUUUUUUACAUAUUAAUCGCUAUAAUUUGAUGGCCAAAAAAAAAAUUAAUUUAUUUUAAAGAAUUUGUAUUGUGAAAACCCCGUAUAGGGAUGACGGGCCGGUACUGCUGAGGAAAAAAUAUUUGAGUAAUUCAUUUAUAAAUUAAUACCCAAUGUAGCUCUCACUUUUUCACAAUACAAAUUCGUCAAAAUUAACUAAUUUUUUUUUUCGGCCAUCAAAUUAUAGCAAUUUAUUUGUAAAAAACUUUUUCAAAUAUUUUUUUAUCAGCAGUAGCGGCCCCUCAUCCCUAUACAACUUCGGUUACACUUUUUCGCAAUACAAAUUGUUAAAAAUUAAUUAAUAUUUUUUUUGGCCAUCAAAUUAUAGCAAUUGAUUUGUAAAUAAAUUUCUUAAAUAUUUUUUUAUCAAAAAUACUGGCUCCUCAUCCCUAUACUAUUUCGCAAAUACCUUUUUUUGUAGAAUUUGUAUUGUGAAAAAGCAUAAGCGAAAUUGUAUAGGGAUGAGGAGCCGGUAUUGUUGAUAAAAAAAUAUUUGAGAAAUUUAUUUACAAAUUAAUUUCUAUAAUUUUAUGGCCAAAAACAAAAUUAAUUUAUUUGAAAAAAUUUGUAUUGUGAAAAAGUGAGAGCGACAUUGUAUAGGGAUGAGGGGUCAGUACUACUGAUAAAAAAAUAUUUGAAAAAUGUUUUUACAAAUAAAUCGCUAUAAUUUGAUGGCCAAAAAAAAAUUAAUUAAUUUCGAAGAAUUUGUAUUGUGAAAUAACCUAAGUGAAAUUGUAUAGGGAUAAGCGGCCGGUACUGCUGAUAACAAAAUAUUUGAGAAAUUUAUUUACAAAUUAAUGGUGUUAAAUUGAUGGCCAAAAAAAAAAUUAAUUUAUUUUUAAUAAUCUGUAUUGUGAAAAAGUGAGAGCGGCAUUGUAAAGGGAUAAGGGGUCAAGACUGCUGAUAAAAUCAUAUUUGAUAAUGUUUUACAAAUCAAUUGCUAUAAUUUGAUGGCCAAAAAAAAAAAUUUAUUUAUUUCUAAGAAUCUGUAUUAUAAAAAAGUGAGAGCCACAUUGUGUAGGGAUUAAGGGCCGGUUCUGCUGAUAAAAAAAUAUUUGAGAAAUUUAUUAACAAAUUAAUGUUUUUAAAUUUAUGGCCGAAAAAAAAAAAUUAUUUAUUUUUAAUAAUCUGUACUGUGAAAAAGUGAGAGCGACAUUGUAUAGGGAUGAAGGGCUGGUUCUGCUGAUAAAAAAAUAUUUGAGAAAUUUAUUAACAAAUUAAUUGCUAUAAUUUAGUGGCUAAAAAAAAAAAUUAAUUAAUUUGGAAGAAUUUGUAUUGUGAAAAAGUGUGAGUGAAUAUUGUACAACGAUAUUGGCUCGUUUCUGGUGAUGAAUUAUCUCUAAAAAAUACAUGAUGGGAAAAUAUUGGUAAAAAUCGUUCGAAUAGAGCAAUAUUACAAUUUGGUUAAAUUGAAAUCGUUAAUAUUCAUCUAUAAAUCGUUUUUUAUUAUUAAUAAUUUUUAGUUUUUUGACAUGCUUAUUUGCUUGUAGCUAGAAAUCAUCUAACUGCUGCUUAGUUUUAUUCUUUUACUUACUAAAUUUUUUACCGAGCACUUUUUGAGAUACUAAAAAUGCGUUUUGAUAAGAAUUACAGCGAUUUGUUCGAAUCGUGAUUAUUAUUAAUUUUGUAAGUUUUGAUGAUUUCUAUUCGAACUUACGAAUGCGUCUUACGCCAGGAGCAUUGGCUUUUUAAUGAUUAAAAAUUAUUUAAAUGUUGCUUAGUUUUACUAUCUUACUUACAAAAUUUUUUACUGUACACCUUUUAGGAAACUAAAAGGUCGUUUCGAUAAGAAUCACAACCCCGCUUAAAAAAUUCGUUAGAUUCUUAUAGUUGUAUACAUAAGGCCUUAUACUUAACUAUGGCACUUCUCAUAGAACUUAAUUAUUCCUAAGAAAUCUCUAUGAUAAUAUAUGAGAAUCUAUUGAAUUCCAUGAGUUUUUCUAUACAGGGCACGAUUCGUCUGAAAUGUGGUUGUAAAUAAUUUUGUAAGUCAGGGAUGAUUUCCAUUCGAACAUAAGAAUGCGUCUUAUGCUAGGAGCAUUGACGUUUUAAUAAUUAGAAACUAUUUAACGGUUGCUUAGAUUUAUUAUUUUAUUUAUAAAAUUGUUAAUUGAACACCUUUUAGGAAACUAAAAGUGCAUUUUCAUAAGAAUCUUCAAGAUUCGUCUGAAAUGCCGUUCUUAACAUUUUUCUAACUUCAAAGCACUAAUAAUUUGAUGGCUUUGCAGAAUUUCAUUUUUUGCUAUUUUUUAGGCAAUUACUAUAGAAUCUAGGUGAAAACGACAUGUUUGAAAAGAGCCUGGUUUUUAAUGAAUUUCUGCUUGUAGUUAUAUGUCUACAUAAUGUACAAUAUUGGCCAUAAAUUCACGACGGGUGGCGUUCAAAUCGGUAAAAUAAACUAAAGAUAAAUAAACAUUUAGAAAAAUUAAAUUUAAAUAGAUAAAAAAGUAGAUAAUAUAAAAAUUUUAUAAAAAAAACAAACAGUAAAAAAAUACUUAGGUAAUAAUUUAAAUGGAUAAAAAAAUAUAUCGGUAAUAAAAAUAACAGAAAAAUGAAAACUACUCUAAAAAAAAAAAAUUAGCCAAUUAAAACUGAGGAUAAAAAAAUAGCGCGCAUUUUUAAAAUCGGCUAACAAAAAAUUGGUAUAAUUAUAAAUAUUGAUAU